Molecule: unclassified non-coding RNA, 456 nt
Filed under: uncultured Lactarius
Lineage: Eukaryota; Fungi; Basidiomycota; Agaricomycetes; Russulales; Russulaceae
Description: sequence contains ITS2
Rfam family: 5.8S ribosomal RNA (bases 1-154)
Source: RNAcentral
AACUUUUAGUAAUGGAUCACUUGGCUCUCGCAUCGAUGAAGAACGCAGCGAAAUGCGAUACGUAAUGUGAAUUGCAGAAUUCAGUGAAUCAUCGAAUCUUUGAACGCACCUUGCGCCCCUUGGUAUUCCGAGGGGCACACCCGUUUGAGUGUCGUGAAAAUCUCAACCUUCUCGGUUUCUUCUGGACACCGAGGAGGCUUGGACUUUGGAGGCCUUUGCUGGCGUCUCUCGCCAGCUCCUCUCAAAUGAAUUAGUGGGGUCCUCUUUGCCGAUCCUCGACAUGUGAUAAGAUGUUUCCAUGUCUUGGUUUAUGGCUCUGUUGCUUUUGGGACCCGCUUCUAACCGUCUCAACGAGACAACGUUCGAGCAUGUCGAACACUCUUGAACCCACGAACCCUUGACCUCAAAUCGGGUGAGACUACCCGCUGAACUUAAGCAUAUCAAUAAGCGGAGGCU